GGGGGUGUGGCUCAGUGGUAGAGUGCAUGCUUAGCAUGUAUAAGACCCUGGGUUCAAUCCCAGUACCCUCA
RNAcentral lists this transfer RNA (71 nucleotides) under Ovis aries (sheep). Its description in RNAcentral is "tRNA-Ala (AGC) (tRNA-Ala-AGC-20-1)". It matches the Rfam family "tRNA". From Rfam's summary of the family: Transfer RNA (tRNA) molecules are approximately 80 nucleotides in length. Their secondary structure includes four short double-helical elements and three loops (D, anti-codon, and T loops). The record is from Rfam by way of RNAcentral. Lineage: Eukaryota; Metazoa; Chordata; Mammalia; Artiodactyla; Bovidae.